Molecule: ribosomal RNA, 440 nt
Filed under: uncultured bacterium
Lineage: Bacteria
Description: partial 16S ribosomal RNA
Rfam family: Bacterial small subunit ribosomal RNA
Source: RNAcentral
CCUACGGGAGGCUGCAGUGGGGAAUAUUGCACAAUGGGGGAAACCCUGAUGCAGCGACGCCGCGUGAGUGAAGAAGUAUUUCGGUAUGUAAAGCUCUUUCAGCAGGGAAGAAAAUGACGGUACCUGAUUAAGAAGCCCCGGCUAACUACGUGCCAGCAGCCGCGGUAAUACGUAGGGGGCAAGCGUUAUCCGGAUUUACUGGGUGUAAAGGGAGCGUAGGCGGCAGCACAAGUCUGGAGUGAAAUGCCGGGGCUUAACCCCGGAACUGCUUUGGAAACUGUGCAGCUAGAGUGCAGGAGAGGUACGUGGAAUUCGUGGUGUAGCGGUGAAAUGCGUAGAUACUAGGAGGAACACCAGUGGCGAAGGCGGCUUACUGGACUGUAACUGACGUUGAGGCUCGAAAGCGUGGGGAGCGAACAGGAUUAGAUACCCGAGUAGUC